This 74-nucleotide transfer RNA is filed under the name bacterium HR41. Its description in RNAcentral is "tRNA-Arg". It matches the Rfam family "tRNA". Rfam says of the family: Transfer RNA (tRNA) molecules are approximately 80 nucleotides in length. Their secondary structure includes four short double-helical elements and three loops (D, anti-codon, and T loops). The record is from RNAcentral.
GCGCCCGUAGCUCAGUGGAUAGAGCGCUGGCCUCCGGAGCCAGAGGUCACAGGUUCGAAUCCUGUCGGGCGCAC